GGUCAAGCUACAAAGGGCGCAUGGUGAAUGCCUUGGCAUCAGGAGCCGAUGAAGGACGUGAUAAGCUGCGAUAAGCUUCGGGUAGGCGCACAUAGCCUGAGAUCCGAAGAUCUCCGAAUGAGGAAACUCACAUGGGAAACCCCAUGUAUCAUUAAGUGAAUACAUAGCUUAAUGAAGGUAACCCAGGGAACUGAAACAUCUAAGUACCUGGAGGAAGAGAAAGAAAAAUCGAUUUUCUUAGUAGCGGCGAGCGAAAGGGAAAGAGCCCAAACCGGAAACUUGUUUCCGGGGUUGUGGACAUAACAUAAAAGUGGAGGCUAUUGUAACUGAAGAGAACUGGAAAGUUUCACCGUAGAAGGUAAUAGUCCUGUAAGUGAAACGAGAAGACCACGAGUUAUGAUCCAGAGUACCACGAGACACGUGAAACCUUGUGGGAAGCAGGGAGGACCACCUCCCAAGGCUAAAUACUACCUGAUGACCGAUAGUGAAGCAGUACCGUGAGGGAAAGGUGAAAAGAACCCCGGGAGGGGAGUGAAAUAGAACCUGAAACCGUGUGCCUACAACCGCUCAGAGCCCCUUAUGAGGGUGAUGAGGUGCUUUUUGUAGAACGAGCCAACGAGUUACGGUAUGUAGCAAGGUUAAGUACUUAAGGUACGGAGCCGAAGGGAAACCGAGUCUGAAUAGGGCGACUAGUUGCAUGCCGUAGACCCGAAACCGGGUGACCUAUCCAUGGCCAGGUUGAAGCGAGGGUAAAACCUCGUGGAGGACCGAACCACGUUGCUGUUGAAAAAGCAUGGGAUGAGCUGUGGAUAGCGGAGAAAUUCCAAUCGAACCCGGAGAUAGCUGGUUCUCUCCGAAAUAGCUUUAGGGCUAGCGUCGAGUAUGAGUAGUGGAGGUAGAGCACUGAAUGGGCUAGGGGGCAUAGCGCUUACCGAACCUUAUCAAACUCCGAAUGCCACAUACUUUGAGCUCGGCAGUCAGACUACGAAUGAUAAGAUCCGUGGUCAAAAGGGAAACAGCCCAGAUCGUCAGCUAAGGUCCCAAAGUGUAAGUUAAGUGGGAAAGGAUGUGAGAUUUCUAAGACAACUAGGAUGUUGGCUUAGAAGCAGCCAUUCAUUAAAAGAGUGCGUAAUAGCUCACUAGUCGAGAGAUCUUGCGCCGAAAAUGUAACGGGGCUAAACUUACCACCGAAGCUACGGGCUUGAACUUAGUUCAAGCGGUAGGAGAGCGUCGUAACCGGGCUGAAGUCGUACCGUAAGGAGCGGUGGACUGGUUACGAGUGAGAAUGUUGGCAUCAGUAGCGAGAUGUGGGUGAGAAUCCCACAGGCCGAAAACCUAAGGUUUCCUCAGGAAGGUUCGUCCGCUGAGGGUUAGUCGGGACCUAAGCCGAGGCCGAAAGGCGUAGGUGAUGGACAACUGGUUGAUAUUCCAGUACCACUACCAUCGUUAUUAUCGAUGGCGUGACGCAGGAGGAUAGUGUGUGCUAGCUAUUGGAUGCUAGUCUAAGCGUUUAGGCAGUGAGAGUAGGCAAAUCCGCUCUCAUAAUGCUGAGGCGUGAUGGGGAAGGUUCCACGGAACCGAAGUACAUGAUUCCACGCUGCCAAGAAAAGCGUCUAGAGAGAGAAGUAGUGCCCGUACCGCAAACCGACACAGGUAGGUGAGGAGAGAAUCCUAAGGCCGGCGGAAGAAUUACAGUUAAGGAACUCGGCAAAUUGACCCCGUAAGUUCGCGAGAAGGGGUGCCUACGAGAGUAGGCCGCAGAGAAUAGGCCCAAGCAACUGUUUAGCAAAAACACAGGUCUCUGCUAAAGCGUAAGCUGAUGUAUAGGGGCUGACGCCUGCCCGGUGCUGGAAGGUUAAGGGGAACACUUAGCGCAAGCGAAGGUGUGAACUUAAGCCCCAGUAAACGGCGGCCGUAACUAUAACGGUCCUAAGGUAGCGAAAUUCCUUGUCAGGUAAGUUCUGACCCGCACGAAUGGCGUAAUGACUUGGGCACUGUCUCAACUGUAAAUCCGGCGAAGUUGUAGUGCGAGUGAAGAUGCUCGCUACCCGCGAUUGGACGGAAAGACCCCGUAGAGCUUUACUGUAGCUUAGCAUUGAGUUUUGGUAUUGUCUGUACAGGAUAGGUGGGAGACUAGGAAACCAGGGCGUCAGCCUUGGUGGAGUCAACCUUGGGAUACCACCCUGACAGUACUGAAAUUCUAACUGGCGGCCAUGAAUCUGGUCACAGGACAUUGUUAGGUGGGCAGUUUGACUGGGGCGGUCGCCUCCUAAAAAGUAACGGAGGCGCCCAAAGGUUCCCUCAGAACGGUCGGAAAUCGUUCGAAGAGUGCAAAGGCAGAAGGGAGCCUGACUGCGACACCCACAAGUGGAGCAGGGACGAAAGUCGGGCUUAGUGAUCCGGUGGUACCUCGUGGGAGGGCCAUCGCUCAACGGAUAAAAGCUACCUCGGGGAUAACAGGCUGAUCUCCCCCAAGAGUCCACAUCGACGGGGAGGUUUGGCACCUCGAUGUCGGCUCGUCGCAUCCUGGGGCUGAAGUAGGUCCCAAGGGUUGGGCUGUUCGCCCAUUAAAGCGGCACGCGAGCUGGGUUCAGAACGUCGUGAGACAGUUCGGUCCCUAUCCGUCGCGGGCGUAGGAAAUUUGAGAGGAGCUGUCCUUAGUACGAGAGGACCGGGAUGGACUGACCUCUGGUGUACCAGUUGUUCCGCCAGGAGCACAGCUGGGUAGCUAAGUCGGGAAUGGAUAAACGCUGAAAGCAUCUAAGCGUGAAGCCAACCUCAAGAUGAGAUUUCCCAUAGCGUAAGCUAGUAAGAUCCCUUGAAGAACACAAGGUUGAUAGGUCGGGGGUGUAAGCAUGGUAACAUGUUCAGCUGACCGAUACUAAUAGAUCGAGGGCUUGACCAA
RNAcentral lists this ribosomal RNA (2905 nucleotides) under Clostridium perfringens C str. JGS1495. RNAcentral's name for it is "bacterial LSU rRNA". It matches the Rfam family "Bacterial large subunit ribosomal RNA". Lineage: Bacteria; Bacillati; Bacillota; Clostridia; Eubacteriales; Clostridiaceae. The record is from RNAcentral.